CGUAGGUGGUUGAUCGCGUCGGAAGUGUAAUCUUGGGGCUUAACCCUGAGCGUGCUUUCGAUACGGGUUGACUUGAGGAAGGUAGGGGAGAAUGGAAUUCCUGGUGGAGCGGUGGAAUGCGCAGAUAUCAGGAGGAACACCAGUGGCGAAGGCGGUUCUCUGGGCCUUUCCUGACGCUGAGGAGCGAAAGCGUGGGGAGCGAACAGGCUUAGAUACCCUGGUAGUCCACGCUGUAAACGGUGGGUACUAGGUGUGGGGUCCAUUCCACGGGUUCCGUGCCGUAGCUAACGCUUUAAGUACCCCGCCUGGGGAGUACGGCCGCAAGGCUAAAACUCAAAGGAAUUGACGGGGCCCCGCACAAGCGGCGGAGCAUGCGGAUUAAUUCGAUGCAACGCGUAGAACCUUACCUGGGUUUGACAUGGAUCGGGAGUGCUCAGAGAUGGGUGUGCCUCUUUUGGGGUCGGUUCACAGGUGGUGCAUGGCUGUCGUCAGCUCGUGU
RNAcentral lists this ribosomal RNA (499 nucleotides) under uncultured soil bacterium. RNAcentral's name for it is "bacterial SSU rRNA". It matches the Rfam family "Bacterial small subunit ribosomal RNA", at positions 570 to 1065 of the family's 1533-position model. The record is from RNAcentral.